GACGAACGCUGGCGGCGUGCCUAAUACAUGCAAGUGGGACGCAAGGAAACACACUGUGCUUGCACACCGUGUUUUCUUGAGUCGCGAACGGGUGAGUAACGCGUAGGUAACCUGCCUAUUAGCGGGGGAUAACUAUUGGAAACGAUAGCUAAUACCGCAUAAUAUUAAUUAUUGCAUGAUAAUUGAUUGAAAGAUGCAAGCGCAUCACUAGUAGAUGGACCUGCGUUGUAUUAGCUAGUUGGUAAGGUAAGAGCUUACCAAGGCGACGAUACAUAGCCGACCUGAGAGGGUGAUCGGCCACACUGGGACUGAGACACGGCCCAGACUCCUACGGGAGGCAGCAGUAGGGAAUCUUCGGCAAAGGACGAAAGUCUGACCGAGCAACGCCGCGUGAGUGAAGAAGGUUUUCGGAUCGUAAAGCUCUGUUGUAAGUCAAGAACGUGUGUGAGAGUGGAAAGUUCACACAGUGACGGUAGCUUACCAGAAAGGGACGGCUAACUACGU
This 504-nucleotide ribosomal RNA is filed under the name uncultured bacterium. RNAcentral describes it as "partial 16S ribosomal RNA". It matches the Rfam family "Bacterial small subunit ribosomal RNA", at positions 28 to 506 of the family's 1533-position model. The record is from RNAcentral.